AUUAGGAAUCUUGCGCAAUGGGCGAAAGCCUGACGCAGCGACGCCGCGUGCGGGAUGAAGGCCUUCGGGUCGUAAACCGCUUUUCUGGGGGAAGAAGAAUGUGACGGUACCCCAGGAAUAAGCCCCGGCUAACUACGUGCCAGCAGCCGCGGUAAUACGUAGGGGGCGAGCGUUGUCCGAAGUUACUGGGCGUAAAGCGCGCGUAGGCGGUUCUUUAAGUCUGGGGUGAAAGGUUCAGGGCUCAACCCGAACAGUGCCUUGGAUACUGAGGAACUUGAGUGUCAAAGAGGAGAGUGGAAUUCCUGGUGUAGCGGUGAAAUGCGUAGAUAUCAGGAGGAACACCGAUGGCGAAGGCAGCUCUCUGGUUGACAACUGACGCUGAGGUGCGAAAGCGUGGGGAGCGAACGG
This 408-nucleotide ribosomal RNA is filed under the name uncultured bacterium. RNAcentral describes it as "bacterial SSU rRNA". It matches the Rfam family "Bacterial small subunit ribosomal RNA", at positions 354 to 775 of the family's 1533-position model. The record is from RNAcentral.